Molecule: ribosomal RNA, 440 nt
Filed under: uncultured bacterium
Lineage: Bacteria
Description: partial 16S ribosomal RNA
Rfam family: Bacterial small subunit ribosomal RNA
Source: RNAcentral
CCUACGGGUGGCAGCAGUGGGGAAUAUUGCACAAUGGGGGAAACCCUGAUGCAGCGACGCAGCGUGAGUGAAGAAGUAUCUCGGUACGUAAAGCUCUAUCAGCAGGGAAGAAAAUGACGGUACCUGACUAAGAAGCCACGGCUAACUACGUGCCAGCAGCCGCGGUAAUACGGAGGGUGCAAGCGUUAUCCGGAUUUACUGGGUGUAAAGGGAGCGUAGACGGCAGCGCAAGUCUGGAGUGAAAUGUCGGGGCCCAACCCCGGAACUGCUUUUGAUACUGUGUAUCUCGAGUGCAGGAGAGGUAAGCGGAAUUCGUAGUGUAGCAGUGAAAUGCGUAGAUAUUAGGAGGAACACCAGUGGCGAAGGCGGCUUACUGGACUGUAACUGACGUUGAGGCUCGAAAGCGUGGGGAGCAAACAGGAUUAGAUACCCGGGUAGUC